Molecule: small RNA, 586 nt
Filed under: Vigna angularis var. angularis
Lineage: Eukaryota; Viridiplantae; Streptophyta; Magnoliopsida; Fabales; Fabaceae
Description: Non-protein coding transcript
Source: RNAcentral
UUCAAAUAACUAUAAAUAUGAUGUCGAGUUGACUGGUAAUUAAUAGGUGAGUUUAGGUUAUUUCUGAGUAAAUUUCAAGGGUUUUAACAGAUGAAAUCUUGGGGAAAUGGUUUUAUUAGUAAAAUUGUUGUUUGGUAGUUACCUUGAGGUCACUUAGAACCUAGUUGGCUAGUUAGUGCAUUGAAAAAUCUAGUUUAAAGCAUUAGAAUUUUGAUUCAUGAGUUGUGUGGUAUAGAUUGAUUGAUUGAACCUUGAUUCCUGACCAAAUCACCAAAUUGCUAUCUAAUUGAAGUUAUAAACAUGUUUUUGAAUUAUUUCAAUGUCUAUGAUGCCAUUUUGAUCAUUUAGAUAGGUAUUAGGGGCAACCAAAGCUAAAUCUAGAGGUUUUACACUUUUGGUGUGGCGUUCAGUGACAACCAGCGAUGCCUGAGCGCUAAAAAGCCAAGAGCUCUAGCGCUCAAGCAUUAGUUUUGUGCAAAGAAUGAAGUUCAGCGGGAAGGAUGUGUCGCUCGGUGUCAGGAGCUUUUCCAUACUCUUUUUGCUAUGAAUUUCUUUUGUUUAUGUGGAUUUUUUAAGGGAAGUUUCA